GGUGGCGUUAUGCCACUUGCAAUAUUUUAUCUUCUUCAGCUGUUUGACCAACGGGAUCGUAUGGUAUGGCAAGAGCUUUAUUUGUCCUUCCUGGAGGAGAAGGUCGAAAAUUUUAUCGGCCUUUGAUGUGUCGAAACCGAAUACUUCCGGCUCCUUUUUCCCGAACGGACACGAUAUCGGCUUUUUUCCUUUAACCCAUUCCGCCAGGCCGAUCUCUGUUUCUUCUUCGGAUUCAACCUCCUCUAAGUACGCCACCUUCUUCUGGAAGUUCCUUCGUGGAUCAAAGGGGCGUACUUCCU
This 299-nucleotide long non-coding RNA is filed under the name Setaria viridis. RNAcentral describes it as "long non-coding RNA (SVIR_LNC003913)". Lineage: Eukaryota; Viridiplantae; Streptophyta; Magnoliopsida; Poales; Poaceae. The record is from RNAcentral.